UACCGUGUGGUCUAGUAGUUAUGAUUCAUGGUUUUCACCCACGUGACCCGGGUUCUAAUCCCGGCUAGGUAA
RNAcentral lists this transfer RNA (72 nucleotides) under Strongylocentrotus purpuratus (purple sea urchin). It matches the Rfam family "tRNA". Rfam says of the family: Transfer RNA (tRNA) molecules are approximately 80 nucleotides in length. Lineage: Eukaryota; Metazoa; Echinodermata; Echinoidea; Camarodonta; Strongylocentrotidae. The record is from Rfam by way of RNAcentral.